ACGGAAGGCAGCAGUGGGGAAUAUUGCACAAUGGGGGAAACCCUGAUGCAGCGACGCCGCGUGAGUGAAGAAGUAUUUCGGUAUGUAAAGCUCUAUCAGCAGGAAAGAAAAUGACGGUACCUGACUAAGAAGCCCCGGCUAACUACGUGCCAGCAGCCGCGGUAAUACGUAGGGGGCAAGCGUUAUCCGGAUUUACUGGGUGUAAAGGGAGCGUAGACGGCUUUGCAAGUCUGAAGUGAAAGCCCGGGGCUCAACCCCGGAACUGCGUUGGAAACUGUAGAGCUAGAGUGCAGGAGAGGUAAGUGGAAUUCCUAGUGUAGCGGUGAAAUGCGUAGAUAUUAGGAGGAACACCAGUGGCGAAGGCGGCUUACUGGACUGUAACUGACGUUGAGGCUCGAAGGCGUGGGGAGCAAACAGGAUUAGAUACCCUGGUA
RNAcentral lists this ribosomal RNA (434 nucleotides) under uncultured Lachnospiraceae bacterium. RNAcentral describes it as "partial 16S ribosomal RNA". It matches the Rfam family "Bacterial small subunit ribosomal RNA", at positions 341 to 792 of the family's 1533-position model. The record is from RNAcentral. Lineage: Bacteria; Bacillati; Bacillota; Clostridia; Lachnospirales; Lachnospiraceae.